ACUGAGCAUUAUUUAAAUGUUGAUGUCCAUUAGGAUUUCACCGAAGUCACCGAAUGUUAUCAAACGGGUGAACCAAAUAGCGAGGAAGGCAAAUGGCACCUUGACCUUCAUUUCAAGGGAAAAACAUUUUACUAUAAUUAUAUUCUGGGAGAAUAGCACCUCAUAUGAGCCAACGGUAUGAACAUUGAAUUCUCCAUUUAUCAAGUGAUAACCCCUCUAACCCUCCCACUUUUUCUCAUCCCCACCUUUCUCCACGCAGCUACCCUUCCAGUCACUGCUCCUUUCCAUCCUACACUCAUUUCCCAUCCCCAAGUUCCCCACUUCCCGUUUAUUCCCCUCCCACUCCCGUGGAUAGAUAUUCUACCCAUAUUCCUUCCUAUGGCUUUACAUUUCACUCAUCCUCUUCUCCUUAUGUGUUUUCCUUUUUACCUCAUACCUAAGCAUUCAUGACCUAGUCCUCCCCUCUGCCAAUCAACCUGCUUAUCUCUCUCCAUCUAUCACUUGCUAGACUUUGUCACUAUUUUCCAGCUUUCUUCCCCCUAGUCCAAUCAGUCUGAAGAAAGCUCCUGACCCAUAAGAUCAUCUGUCCAUUCCCUCCACAUUGUGCCUGUCUCACUGAGUUCCUCCAGCACUUUGUGUUUUUCCUCAAGAUUCUAGCAUCUGUAGUUUCUUGUAUUUCAUCCCUCCUCAGAUCUUCUCUCUGCCUCUGAGCUCUAACCCUUAGCUCUAAGCAACAUACUGGGUAUAAAUUUGUUUUCUUGGUCUGCCUGCAAUGGCCAGACUGUCAGAUUGGGAGAGAUUGCAUAGUUUAUUAGAAUAAAACAUGUAUAUUAAUAUUAGAGAGCUCAACAGGGUGAAUAUGUGCAGAAUAGAAACAUAGAAAAUAGGUGCAGGAGUAGGCCAUUCGGCCCUUCGAGCCUGCACCGCCAUUUGAUAUGAUCAUGGCUGAUCAUCCAACUCAGUAUCCCAUCCCUGCCUUCUCUCCAUACCCCCUGAUCCCUUUAGCCACAAGGGCCACAUCUAACUCCCUCUCAAAUAUAGCCAAUGAACUGGCCUCAACUACCUUCUGUGGCAGUGAAUUCCACAGAUUCACCACUCUAUGUGUAAAAAAUGAUUUCCUCAUCUCGGUCCUAAAAGUCUACCCUCUUAUCCUUAAACUGUGACCCCUAGUUCUGGACUUCCCCAACAUCGGGAAUAAUCUUCCUGCAUCUAGCCUGUCCAACCCCUUAAGAAUGGUGUAAGUUUCUAUAAGAUCCCCCUUCAGUCUUCUGAAUUCCAACGUGUACAAGCCGAAUAUUUGCAACUUGGCUGUGGAGUCUAGAGCAAGGUAUAAAUGUGUGUAGGCCAUUUAGCAGUGAAAUCUGGGAACAUUUCCUAACUGGAAUUCCCCAACAAAGAUGGCUGUCAAGGCUCAGUUCUUGAUUUUGUUUGAAACUGAGAUUGUUUUGAUUAUAGAAAUUAAGGUAAUUGGGGAAAUGGCAGGAAUAUUAUGUUUGAGGUUGAACGAAUUGAAGGAACGGAAAUGGCUAUUCUUGCUCCUAUUUCUUCGUUGUCCAAAGCAUGAAUCAAAACAAUUAGGACUUACAAUCACUGUUUAAAAUGCUACCAAAAGUAUUUAAAACACACCUAACUUAAAAUAUAUUUAAAUCCGAGCCAGUGGGAAAUGUUGCAUUUGGGAGGUUAAAUGCAAGGGGAAAAAUAUACAUUUAAUGGCAUGAUUCAGAGGGAUUUUCGGGUCCAAGACAAAGUUCCCUGAAAGUGGCAACACAAAGAGAUACGACAAGUAGUAACACAAGACAUAUGAUAUGCUGGCCUUCAAUGGACGAGGUAUUAAGUCAGGAAAUCGUGAUGCAGCUUUAUGGGACUAUGGUUAGGCCACAUUUGGUGUAUUGCCUGAAGUUCUGGUCACCCCAUUGUAGGAAAGAUGUGGAAGCUUUGCAGAGAGUGCAGCUAAGGUUUACUAGAUUGAUACUUGGGUUAGGGGCUAUUGGAUGCAUGCAGAGGGACACAUUUGUUUUUUUUUUCCCUUUGAAUGCCAGAGGUUGCAGGGAGACUAGAUAGCAGUACACAAAAUUAUGAGAGGCAUGGAUGGGGUAGAGUCAAACCUUUUUUCCAGGAUGGUAAAAUCAAAUGCUAGAGGGCAUAUCUUUAAGGUGAGAAUGGUUACGUUUAAAAUUGAUGUGCGGGGUAAUUUCUUUUUACACAGAGUGUGAUGAAUGCACGGACAUUGUGGGCGCAAGGGCCUGUUCCUGUCUUGUACGUUCUGUGUUGGAACUGAGGAUCAUCUAAUGAAAUAUGAAGCAAUUAACGCCACUUUUGCAAGAAGGAACUGCGGAUGCUGGUUUAAACCGAAGAUAGACAUAAAAAGCCGGAGUAACUCAGCGGAUCAGACGGCAUCUCUGGAGAAAAGGAAUAGGAAAGAGCUGCAGAUGCUGGUUUAAAUCGAAGGUAGACACAAAGUGGUGGAGUAACUCAGUGGGACAGGCAACAUCUCCGGAGAGAAGGAAUGGGUGAUGUUUUGGGUCGAGACCCUUCCUGGCCAGCAGAACGGUCCGUGAUACUCCACGUGAAGCCUGCUAAAAUGUUGUGCUGUUGCAACGUGACACCCCAACUCUUAUACUCAAUAGCCCAGACUAUUAAGCUACAAAAUCUCACCUGCAACCAAACCUGACGAUAUUGUGGCAACAACUGGAGUCUUCGUCUUAGAAUUGAUGCGGGCUAAAACUUUGAAAAGCAACCCAUCUUCAGCCAUAGCAUAGAUUACGCGAGGCAUGGGGAAAAUGGAACCAAGCAGACUGAAUGAAGAGGAAAGACAUGCACAAUGCUGCAAGUCAGAGUCACACCAGAGGCCCGGGAACCGUUGGAGCGAGUGGAGGAGGGUCAGGGCUGUUUUCCAUGACCACAUUUCACAGGAUGCAGUGCCAUAAGAAGAAUGUAGUUGUGCUGGAGAAAAUGCAAAGGAAAUUCACUGGAAUGGUGCCUGGAUUGGAGGGCUUUUGUUAUGAGGAUUGAAUAGACUGGGCUUGUUUACCCUGGGGUGAAUGAGCCAGAGGAAUACCCUGUUAGUUGUAUAUUAAAUAAAAUGAGGCAUGGAUAGGGUAAAUAGUCUUCUCAUAGUAAGGAUAUCAAAAACAAGAUGAAAGCUUUUGGGGGAUUGAGGGGAAAAAUCUAUUCAUACAGUGUUUGAUAUCUGAAAUGUGCUACCAGAGGAGGUGGUGGUAUUAGACGCAAUAACAAUGUUUAAGAGCCAGUGGUUAAGUCCAGCUUCUUUCACUUAAGGAAGCUGGCGAAGGUGAAGCCCAUUCUCGAGCGGCAGCAUUUUGAGACAGUAAUCCAUGCCUUUAUUACAUCUAGGCUGGAUUACUGUAACGCGCUCUAUUUUGGAGUUGCUCGUUCUUCACUGGCUCGUCUCCAGUUGGUUCAGAAUGCUGCUGCUCGCCUUUUAACUGGGACUCGAAAGAGGGAGCACAUAUCGCCAAUUCUGGCCUCCCUCCACUGGCUCCCGGUGCACUUUCGAGUUCAUUUUAAGAUACUGUUAUUUGUUUUUAAAUCUCUGAAUGGGCUCGCCCCGCCUUACCUCUCUGAGCUGCUCCACCCAUACGCUCCUGCCCGGUCCCUCAGGUCAGCUGGUCAGCUGCUCCUGGAGGUACCGAGGUCUAAUCGGAGGCUCAGAGGGGAUAGAGCCUUCUCUGUUGCUGCUCCAGCGCUCUGGAACACCCUGCCGUUGCACAUCAGACAGGCCCCCUCA
This is a long non-coding RNA of Leucoraja erinaceus (little skate), 3748 nucleotides long. RefSeq lists it as uncharacterized. NCBI's taxonomy places the organism in Eukaryota, Metazoa, Chordata, Chondrichthyes, Rajiformes, Rajidae. The transcript is spliced from 6 exons. The record is from RefSeq and is a predicted model, not a curated record.